UGGAACGCGCCCCAGGCGCACCCAGAAACCCUUUGUGAACUUAUACCUUACUGUUGCCUCGGCGCAUGCCGGCCCCCAGGGGCCCCUCGGAGACGAGGAGCAGGCACGCCGGCGGCCAAGUUAACUCUUGUUUUUACACUGAAACUCUGAGAAAAAAAAACAAAAUGAAUCAAAACUUUCAACAACGGAUCUCUUGGUUCUGGCAUCGAUGAAGAACGCAGCGAAAUGCGAUAAGUAAUGUGAAUUGCAGAAUUCAGUGAAUCAUCGAAUCUUUGAACGCACAUUGCGCCCUCCGGUAUUCCGGAGGGCAUGCCUGUUCGAGCGUCAUUUCAACCCUCAAGCACUGCUUGGUGUUGGGGCACUGCCUUUUCCGGAAGGCAGGCCCUGAAAUUCAGUGGCGAGCUCGCCAGGACCCCGAGCGCAGUAGUUAAACCCUCGCUUUGGAAGGCCCUGGCGGUGCCCUGCCGUUAAACCCCCAACUCUUGAAAAUUUGACCUCGGAUCAGGUAGGAAUACCCGCUGAACUUAAGCAUAUCAAUAAGCGG
RNAcentral lists this ribosomal RNA (544 nucleotides) under Phomopsis sp. RNAcentral describes it as "eukaryotic LSU rRNA". The stretch from base 174 to 327 matches the Rfam family "5.8S ribosomal RNA". The record is from RNAcentral. Lineage: Eukaryota; Fungi; Ascomycota; Sordariomycetes; Diaporthales; Diaporthaceae.